GACGAACGCUGGCGGCGUGCUUAACACAUGCAAGUCGAACGGAAAGGCCCUGCUUUUGUGGGGUGCUCGAGUGGCGAACGGGUGAGUAACACGUGAGUAACCUGCCCUUGACUUUGGGAUAACUUCAGGAAACUGGGGCUAAUACCGGAUAGGAGCUCCUGCUGCAUGGUGGGGGUUGGAAAGUUUCGGCGGUUGGGGAUGGACUCGCGGCUUAUCAGCUUGUUGGUGGGGUAGUGGCUUACCAAGGCUUUGACGGGUAGCCGGCCUGAGAGGGUGACCGGCCACAAUGGGACUGAGAUACGGCCCAGACUCCUACGGGAGGCAGCAGUGGAGAGUAUUGCACAAUGGGCGGAAGCCUGAUGCAGCAACGCCGCGUGCGGGAUGACGGCCUUCGGGUUGUAAACCGCUUUCGCCUGUGACGAAGCGUGAGUGACGGUAAUGGGUAAAGAAGCACCGGCUAACUACGUG
This 468-nucleotide ribosomal RNA is filed under the name uncultured bacterium. RNAcentral describes it as "partial 16S ribosomal RNA". It matches the Rfam family "Bacterial small subunit ribosomal RNA", at positions 28 to 507 of the family's 1533-position model. The record is from RNAcentral.